UACUACAAUAAUAGAUAAAUACCACACUAAGGAGGUUCACAAAGAUCACAGUUUUCAGUGAAAGCGUGAUAAAAAAUUGUAUGCUAACUUUUUUAUCUCAGUUUAAAUCAAAAGCUGAGAUAAAAAGUGGUAUUUGGCCACAGAAAAGAGCAAGAUAAUAGAUCUCACUCUUGCGAUGAGAUAAAAGAAAAAAGACCUCAUUCUUACAGUGUGAUAGAAGAACUUAGCGUGGAAUAGCCGCGGAAAAGAGAGAGACAAAGACCUCGCUCGUGCUGUGAGAUAUAAAAAAAAAAAGACCUCACUCUUGCAGCGUGAUAAAAAACUUUGGUGCGAAGAAAGGGCGAGAUAAAAGAUCUCGCUCUUGUGGCGUGAUAAAAGACUAUGGAAAAACUCAGGAACUUCUGAAUUUUUUUGGCUCAUUUAGGCGCGCUUGGAAAAGGAAAAGAAAUUGAAAGGGUGCUCAAAACGACGUCGUUUCACGUUAGCCCAAAAUAAGCCCUAGUUCCUCUCCACUCACCCGUUGAAGCUCUCCAGUACACGUUGAAGCUUCAUCCUCCCACGCUGCCGCCGCCUCUUUGCCCCCAUCCUCACACGCCGCUGCCGCCGCCUGUUCUCUCUCCACCACCACCGUGAAGGAAGAAACGGAAAUUGGGGCUUUCUGGAAAGAGUGAAACGAUUUCAAGAAGUGAAGGAGAAGAACCAGACCUCGUUGGAUGCUUGUGCUUGGUUUCACACAAUUGCAAUUCGACGCCAUUUUUUAAGGUUCUGCCUUUAGCUUGUGAUCGAUUUUCCCCUUUCUUAAUUCUGUUUUUAUCAGAUUUGGUUGAAAUAAGAUUGUGGAAGAACAGUUAUGACGAAAGGUCUUUCAUGACUGACCGAAUUUUUUGGGCAAUUCAUGGAGAUUCUUGUUUGCGAUUCAAUUUGCUACUUUCAUCUAAUUUUCCAAUUUGGGUAAUUUAGGGCAUGACCCUUCUUGUGUUGAAUCAUUUCUGCCUUCAUUUUUUUAAGGAAAGUUUGAAAUUGAUUGAAGGAUUUACCAAAAGACAUAUCCUUGUUAAGAGAAAUCUAACUGGUAUUUGUUUGUUAUUUUAAGGACGAGUACUAGUGUUUGAAGAAUAUACUGCCUAAUAAUACUAAUCGAGCACAUAGAUUUUUUGUCUUUGUUAUCGUGGAGGGGGCUGUAAUGGGGAAGAAAAGGAAAAAUGGUUGGUUUUGCUGCCUUUUGGUUUGAUACUAAUCAAGCACGUAGAUUUUAAGGGGAAUGCAACUGGAGGGCUUUUGAUGGGGUGGAAGAGCUAGUGUCCUUAAAAUUGCAUAGUCGAAUUUUGUCUUGUUCAUGUAGUAUGUUCUUGGGUGUUGACGUGGUGUUCAUCUGUCCUUGAACCAAUUGUCAGACUUCUUUAAGAGUCUUUAGAGUAAAGAACAAAUAUGUGCUAGUAAGGGCAUUAAAAAAUGUCCUAGUUUAUGUUAUUGAAGUUUGAUUUCCUUUGAACGAGUUUUGGUUUAAUUUGUUUUGUAAUCCAUGUGCAUGAGAAAUAGAAAACGCAUUUCCGUCCUUUUCUUUGGUGUUUUUUUGGUUCUCUUUUAGUUUGUUUUUUGGCCAUCCUUUGUUUGACAAUCCAUGUGCGUGAGAAGAGUACUCUCAUCUCAUCCACAUUCCCCAACAUCAAACCGUCAUUUCUAUUGCUCACACCCUUUACUUGCCAAAAGUUCAUACAAUAUGCUUGUAUGAACUCUUCAGGUUCCUCCCUCUCUUUCUCAAACAAGUACAUAGUUUGUUUGUUUUUUAGCAUGUGUAUUGAUUGUUUCUUUUGGCA
RNA transcript from Rhododendron vialii, 1817 nucleotides. RefSeq lists it as uncharacterized. The transcript is spliced from 2 exons. The record is from RefSeq and is a predicted model, not a curated record. NCBI's taxonomy places the organism in Eukaryota, Viridiplantae, Streptophyta, Magnoliopsida, Ericales, Ericaceae.